This 301-nucleotide ribosomal RNA is filed under the name uncultured bacterium. Its description in RNAcentral is "partial 16S ribosomal RNA". It matches the Rfam family "Bacterial small subunit ribosomal RNA", at positions 509 to 807 of the family's 1533-position model. The record is from RNAcentral.
CAGCCGCCGCGGUAAUACGUAGGGUGCAAGCGUUAAUCGGAAUUACUGGGCGUAAAGCGUGCGCAGGCGGUGUUGUAAGACUGAUGUGAAAUCCCCGGGCUCAACCUGGGAACUGCAUUGGUGACUGCAACGCUGGAGUGCGGCAGAGGGGGAUGGAAUUCCGCGUGUAGCAGUGAAAUGCGUAGAUAUGCGGAGGAACACCGAUGGCGAAGGCGAUCCCCUGGGCCUGCACUGACGCUCAUGCACGAAAGCGUGGGGAGCAAACAGGAUUAGAUACCCCGGUAGUCCCUGUCUCUUAUAC